AUUAAAGCUUCUAGAAAAGGCAUUCUAGAUAUUUUGAAUUAUUCAACCAUUUGUGUUUCUUUGAUUUAAUCUCGACCAUCGGGAUUAAUCAAAGGCCUGUAUUGAUUAUACAUGUGCAUUCUAUCAUACAAUCAAAAAUCAAAUAAUAAUGAUAAUAAAGAAAAUGAAUUAAAAUAAGAAAAUUGGUCAAUUUCUCUCUCCCAUGUGACUGAUGCUAAGAGGGUGG
This 226-nucleotide long non-coding RNA is filed under the name Lathyrus oleraceus (garden pea). RNAcentral describes it as "Pisum sativum (pea) long non-coding RNA (PSAT_LNC038277)". Lineage: Eukaryota; Viridiplantae; Streptophyta; Magnoliopsida; Fabales; Fabaceae. The record is from RNAcentral.